GUAGGUGGCGAGCGUUGUCCGGAAUUACUGGGUGUAAAGGGAGCGUAGGCGGGAGUGCAAGUUGAAUGUAUAAACUAUCGGCUCAACUGAUAGAAGCGUUCAAAACUGCACUUCUUGAGUGAAGUAGAGGCAGGCGGAAUUCCUAGUGUAGCGGUGAAAUGCGUAGAUAUUAGGAGGAACACCAGUGGCGAAGGCGGCCUGCUGGGCUUUAACUGACGCUGAGGCUCGAAAGCGUGGGUAGCAAA
RNAcentral lists this ribosomal RNA (245 nucleotides) under uncultured bacterium. Its description in RNAcentral is "partial 16S ribosomal RNA". It matches the Rfam family "Bacterial small subunit ribosomal RNA", at positions 527 to 772 of the family's 1533-position model. The record is from RNAcentral.